RNAcentral lists this unclassified non-coding RNA (285 nucleotides) under plant metagenome. Its description in RNAcentral is "partial contains small subunit ribosomal RNA, internal transcribed spacer 1, and 5.8S ribosomal RNA". The stretch from base 1 to 54 matches the Rfam family "Eukaryotic small subunit ribosomal RNA", at positions 1778 to 1831 of the family's 1831-position model. The record is from RNAcentral.
GGAAAUAAAAGUCGUAACAAGGUUUCCGUAGGUGAACCUGCGGAAGGAUCAUUAUUGUAUAGCCGAGGUGCGAGGGCUGUCGCUGACCCGAAAGGUCGUGCACGCCCGAGUGCCCUCACACACAUCCAUCUCACCCCUAUGUGCACCACCGCGUGGGUCCCCCUUUGGCUUGUUCGGAGGGGGGCUUACGUUUUCACACAAACUUUGUAUGCAGUGUAGAAUGUAUUUUUUGUUUUUGCGAUCACGCAAUCAAUACAACUUUCAACAACGGAUCUCUUGGCUCUC